AACGCACAUUGCGCCCUCCCUAACCGGGGGGCAUGCCUGUCUGAGCGUCACUUGAUAUCCAUAAGCCAUAGCUGGUUUGUCCUGGGCCUUGCCAUAUUUGGGGGCAUUGCCUUGAAGGAAUCAGUCUCUUGAGCGGACAGGAUCCUGUAGGGCUGACCGUUCUCUGACUCUAAAGAUCUAAGUGUUGACCUCAGAUCAGGCAGGACCACCGCCUGAACUUAA
Molecule: unclassified non-coding RNA, 222 nt
Filed under: uncultured fungus
Lineage: Eukaryota; Fungi
Description: partial contains 5.8S ribosomal RNA, internal transcribed spacer 2, and large subunit ribosomal RNA
Source: RNAcentral